RNAcentral lists this ribosomal RNA (513 nucleotides) under uncultured bacterium. Its description in RNAcentral is "partial 16S ribosomal RNA". It matches the Rfam family "Bacterial small subunit ribosomal RNA", at positions 28 to 523 of the family's 1533-position model. The record is from RNAcentral.
GAUGAACGCUGGCGGCGUGCCUAUUACAUGCAAGUCGAGCGAACAGACGAGGAGCUUGCUCCUCUGACGUUAGCGGCGGACGGGUGAGUAACACGUGGAUAACCUACCUAUAAGACUGGGAUAACUUCGGGAAACCGGAGCUAAUACCGGAUAAUAUAUUGAACCGCAUGGUUCAAUAGUGAAAGACGGUUUUGCUGUCACUUAUAGAUGGAUCCGCGCCGCAUUAGCUAGUUGGUAAGGUAACGGCUUACUAAGGCAACGAUGCGUAGCCGACCUGAGAGGGUGAUCGGCCACACUGGAACUGAGACACGGUCCAGACGCCUACGGGAGGCAGCAGUAGGGAAUCUUCCGCAAUGGGCGAAAGCCUGACGGAGCAACGCCGCGUGAGUGAUGAAGGUCUUCGGAUCGUAGAACUCUGUUAUUAGGGAAGAACAAAUGUGUAAGUAACUAUGCACGUCUUGACGGUACCUAAUCAGAAAGCCACGGCUAACUACGUGCCAGCAGCCGCCGCAG